This 486-nucleotide ribosomal RNA is filed under the name uncultured Polaromonas sp. RNAcentral's name for it is "bacterial SSU rRNA". It matches the Rfam family "Bacterial small subunit ribosomal RNA", at positions 91 to 578 of the family's 1533-position model. Lineage: Bacteria; Pseudomonadati; Pseudomonadota; Betaproteobacteria; Burkholderiales; Comamonadaceae. The record is from RNAcentral.
GCGAGUGGCGAACGGGUGAGUAAUAUAUCGGAACGUGCCCAGUCGUGGGGGAUAACGUAGAGAAAUUUACGCUAAUACCGCAUACGAUCUAAGGAUGAAAGCGGGGGACCGUAAGGCCUCGCGCGAUUGGAGCGGCUGAUAUCAGAUUAGGUUGUUGGUGAGGUAAAAGCUCACCAAGCCGACGAUCUGUAGCUGGUUUGAGAGAACGACCAGCCACACUGGGACUGAGACACGGCCCAGACUCCUACGGGAGGCAGCAGUGGGGAAUUUUGGACAAUGGGCGAAAGCCUGAUCCAGCCAUGCCGCGUGCAGGACUAAGGCCCUAUGGGUCGUAAACUGCUUUUGAACGGGAAGAAAUGUAUCUACGUGUAGAUAUUUGACGGUACCGUUAGAAUAAGGAUCGGCUAACUUCGUGCCAGCAGCCGCGGUAAUACGAAGGAUCCAAGCGUUGUCCGGAUUUACUGGGUUUAAAGGGUGCGUAGGCGG